This 5309-nucleotide long non-coding RNA is filed under the name Strix occidentalis caurina (northern spotted owl). RNAcentral describes it as "lncRNA (ENSSOCG00000011027.1)". The record is from RNAcentral. Lineage: Eukaryota; Metazoa; Chordata; Aves; Strigiformes; Strigidae.
UUGUAUUUGACUUGCAGAUUGGCAGCCUCUUAAUUUCCCCCAAUAACUGCAAAGAAUCCUGUAGCUUUUUUUUACAUAUAUAUUUAUUUAACACUCUCCAUUUACUAACCCUGGUUUCAAAAUAAAGAAGGGAAAACCCAAACCUUAUUUUUGCGACUGGGGGAAUGAGAAAAUUAUGGUCUUGGAAAGGAAACCGUAGGGUUCAGCACACCGAGUCAUCGGUGACCAGAACAGCUCUCAGAAAUACCUAUUCAUGCUGGCAACACAGUCUUUCAAGUCCUUUGAUAAUUUCUUGCCAAAAUUAAUAAUCAUCUGUUCCCAUGUAUAGAGCACUGAUGAACUUAACAAUUGUACAAUUUUAGGGACCUUUGAUUGCAACGGCUUUUACAAAUGGAUACCAUUGAAACGUUACACAUGGUUGGUUGCCAUCUCACUUGGAGAGUCUCUCUGGAUGUCCGGGCAAGACGGGGCGAAGUUUCUGACCGGGCCCACGUUUGGGUGAUCUCAUCAGACUUUGAGCACUACAUCAUCACCGAUAACGCAAACAAACUGGAGGUGGCACUCGACGGACUUAGGUUGUUUAAAAUCUCUCUCAUCAUCUCAUGAAUCUGCUGUACUAUAAAAACAACAGCUUUUAAAAGUAUGUAUAUAAAACCCAUUUCUUGUUCGUUUUAUUUUCUUGAUGGGUUCCCCCCCCUCUUUUUAAACCUCUCCAAACCACAUUUUUUCGUAGCAUUUUGACAUAGUCUCGUAGCCACGUAGUUCUAAUUCUUUGUGUAUCUAGCAAGAGCCUAACCAUAGUGUAACUGUUUAUAUUAAGGGGUUUCUUUCGUUUUUCUUUCCCACCUCCCCUCCUUCUCCCUUCUGUUUUACGUAGUCGUUGUUGCUUAAAGGAUGCUGAGAUGGUGACAGGAGUCUCAGCCGCUGGUACCGGCUCUGCCCCCGCCGAGGGUGGCGGGGGGAGCAGAGCCGGCGGCGGGCACGGUUUCGGGGUGGCCUUGCAGGGCGCGGGGGGCGCGGGUGAGCAGCAGGUUCUCUAGCCCUUCUUUUCGUUUGUGGCGUCUUCGUUAACCUAAUUCUAUCUAUUUUCGGCAAUAAGGCAAGGACUACAAACUUUUUGUGCGUCCUUUUUCUAUAAGUGCUUUUUUUUGUUGAAAGAGGUGAUAUAAGGUUUUUUGAAAUUGUGAAUUCUGAGAAAAAAAAAAUACUGUAAAUACAAUUCCAUUAACUACAUAUAAACUAUUAAGAAAGAGAAAUACAAACCUAUUUUUGUGAUGGAGUCAGCCUAAGGCAGUUUCUCUAUGAAAACGGAAGAAAAAAAAAAAGAAAGUUUUAGACUUUUUGACCAACUGCCGGAGCUGGCCCGCGGGAGUUAGGUGAUGCACACACUGGUCAGCUUGCUCCGUAGCCGUGGUAGGACCUUCCAGCUCUCCUAGCGUCAUACCAGCAUCUUCGCUAUCAGACGUGCACAGCUUACAAAGGAACAGUCUAGUGGUAUUUUUUUUAAUUUAAAACCUGCUUUUCCCAAGACUGAAAAAGAAGCUACGGUUUUCCUAUUUAAUGCAUUUACGGUUCAAAGCACACCUUUUUAUUUUUUUUUUUAAUUUUUUUUUUUUUAGUUGUUGUUUUAAACUAGAUCAACUUGCUGUCCAGUCAUUUCAGCGGCUCUGGGCACCCUGCGCAGCCCGGGCGGGGGCCAGGUCCCUCCUCCGCGCUCGCCUGCCGCAGGCAGAGCAGCUUUAAAGCUUGCAUGGUUACCUUUUUUAUCCAUUACUUUCUGUAUUAACAAAUUAGGAAAGCAACUUCGGUUUUGUUUUGUUUUUUUUUUUUGGGAAUACCUCAGUGCUACAAGUUUCACCCUAGAAGCAACGGAAGAUUUUAAUUUAUUGUAGUUGUAAACAGAAUUUUAAAAAAAAUAAAGUAUAAAACAUCAUUGCACUGUGACUGGUAGGGGAAAAACUGACAGUUUCCUAUUUGCACAUGUUUAAUAUUUGGCUGUUAUAUAUAUGGUCCUCUGUUGGGGGAGGAAACUUAUGAAGGAUAUUUUUUAAUUUAAUUUUUUUAAUAUUGGUAAAUAGGCCUGCAACAGCAAACUAGAAGUACAACAUGGUAGGUGGCAUUAAGAACAUACUGUAGUGUGGAUAUAUUUCUUCUUUUUUUAACGUAAUAUUGACAAGUUUUAUUAAUAUUUUUUUAAAUUGUUACGUUUAUAAAUUUGGUACUUUAGGUACAGCCAGUAUAAGACACUGAAUGCGACAUUUGUUAAAAAGAGCUGCUGCACUCCUAUUUUUGUAAAUUUUACUAACAAGUAGACUAACGUAGACAUUCAAUAGACAAGGUAGAGCAAGGCAUCUUUAACAAAAACAAGGCACCAUACUGCUAACCGAAAGGAGAAAACCUUGUUUUUCUUGUUUUUAAAAAAGAAUCAUGCUUUUUAUGUAAUAUUUUAGGUUUUUUUCUUAUUUCAGAACAACCAGGUUUAAGCAAAAUGCUGGACGCUUUUUAAAUAUUGAGACUUGAUCAAGUAAUAAAAUAAAUAAAACAAUUCUUUAAAAAAUAAAAACGAAAAAAAAACAACAAACCAAAUUCCCUGAAAUUAAUGUACCGUCAGGGAAUUUUUUAUUGAUAUUUUGUCAAUGUUGAUGAUGUACUGUACUACCAGUUGGUUUUCCUCUCCAUUCCCUGUCACCUCAUAGAAUAUUCUUUGUUGAUCAUUGUUGUAUGUUAAUAGUGUAUAAAAUGGCUAUCUUGUAAGAGUGCUGUCCUGAUGCUAGUGUAGUGAAUUUUCCCCCCCUCUUUCUCUCUUCCUCUUCUAGUACAUAAUGGUAGGUGUAUCGUAAUUAAGGUUAAAAAUUUAGAUGUAGUUAUUCAGAUUUAGGACCAGUAAGGAUAGAACUUUCUCUUAUUUAAGAAAAAAAUGCUAAUAAUUUUGGGAAGGUUUUCCUUUUUUUUUUCUUUCCUCUUUUCUUUGUUUUUUUUUCUCUUGUUUUUGUUUUCUUUUGCUGAUCUGAUGCGGUUUCAACUAACCAAAGGUCUCACAAUGUUAAAAAUGCUGGCAAACUCCUAAGGCAUUUGUAGAUCCCCACCCUUGACUUUGAAAAGGGGAUGUGCCAUACUACCUUAAAUGCUAAUGCUAGAUAUGCAAAACUGGAUUUUUUUAAUUUAUUUUUUAAAAGAGGGAGGCACGGUAUAUUAAAACGAUUUUACUAAGAGAAAAAAAAAUAUUUUUUUAAGAAUGCUCAGAAGAAAUUGCUAAUCUGUGUGAAUAUGUUUUAGAUGUUUAUAUACCUUUUGAGAAGUCCCAGUGGCCCAUAGCACAAAUGUCGUGGAAUCCGAUAUGUUUUGAUGUGGCUACCUAGACUAAGGUUCACGUUAGUCCCCCACUCAUCUAGAAGUCCAUUUCGAAGGGGUUUUUUUCUUUGUUCGUUUGUUUGGGGGUUUUUUGUAAAUUUUUCAGCACAAAGGUUCAGCUCCACCUUUGUUUUAGUCAAGCACAGCGAGUGAAGGAUCGUUCUGAGGGACGUUGCCCUUUUCUUUUUCCAAAUAUCUCAUACGGACCCCGAGUGACCAAAAAGAGAGGGAUUUCCAUCUAGGAGUGUGAACUGGCACGCGAAGGGCCGCCGGCGGGUUCACGCCCUGCCCGGAGCGCCUGGCACCGCGCCGGCCGUGCCGUGGGACGGGCCGCGUCCCAAACACGGGGGACGUUUUGAGAGGAGUUGUAACAAGCCACAGGAGCUCGGGUACCCUCCCCCCUUCAAAAGAAAAAAGUCCUUUGUGAUUGGCUUGAUUAAAAUGAAGCCUGAUCUGUCCUUUUUUUUUUUUUUUUUCUUCAUAAAUGUUCAUUUUAAGUUGAAUUUGUAGCUUGGACUUUAAGGUAGCAUGGCUCUCUUUGCUGUAAGUUUAUUUUUUUUCCAUUGUACAGCAGCUACUGCUGGUGAAUGUUACACAUCUUGCUAGGCUAGUUAAACCAUUGGGUAAUUGUUGGUAAUAACGACCUGAAAGGUGUUCGGAUUUCUUUUCUUCCCUUCUCUGAAGCCUAGGAUGCUGUUUUCAUCUGUAGUGUGAAUGAGGGCUAGCGACUCCAGCCACAGUUACCUUCCUGUUUCGUUUCUGCCAUUCACUCAAUGCAACAUAAUCAAUAAUAAAGCAAUAUAGUUUACUACAUUUUUACUGAAGGCCAGCCAUGGUUAUGUAUGAUAUUGCAUAUGAAACUGUUUACAAAAAAAAAAAAAAAAAACAAACAACACUAACUCAUAGCUGUCUUUUAUGCUAUGGAAAUGUCUCUUGGGUGGAAUUUUCUGAAUUAUUUUUUUUAGUGGUUUGGUUUGUUUUUUUAAAAUAGUUCAAACAGAAAACUGAAGUUAGUGUAGGGUGAAGAGACAGGAUGCAUCGAAGACACACCGGCAGAUCCCGGUCUGCGCACAGACACUGUAGAGUUUCAUACGUACAGAAUCCAAGUCAAACCCAUUGCCGUGUGCGAACACUACGUGAGGAGAUUCUGUAAGCUAAGCAAUACUUUAAUACUGUAAUAAAAAUUACCAAAAAAUUAAAAAAAAAAAAAAGUAGUUUGAGAAAGUAAAUCCUCGUGAUCGGUUCUCGGUUCCCAAACAGUCCGACUGUGUUGUCUCGAGAGAGCUCCGUGUCCGAGCAGGUGGAGCCCCGGCAGCCCGGGGGGAAGCAGGACUCGCCCGCGCCCAGCUCUCUGUUCUGUACAUACCCGUAACACCACGCGUGGGCUCGUGUGUCGCGUCGACCGUCGUAGGUAGCAAAUCCCCGUCAUUCUCUGUUGUACGAGGUCUGAACUCCAUCAGUACUAGGAUGCAAGUCUAAGCAUUUCAGGUGGUCAUAAAUGUACUUAAAUAAACUAUGGCACAGUGGCAGGCCUAGCCCUUCCUUUUAUACUUUAGUAUGAACUGAUGAGAACUUUGGUAGUGACUUUUUUUUUAUAUAUAUACAUAUAUAUAUGUAUCUAUAUAUAUCAAGCAUCUUUCAGGUCUCUGUGUAUGGCUUUCUAAAGCCCUGUUGUAAAAUACUAUGUGGAUGGGGGUCUCUCACAUCACAGAUGUGGAAAGUAUAAUUUUAUAUUUGUAUUUUCAAAUAAAUAAGUUUGUGAAAGGUUUCCAUCCUCUACUGUGGUCCAGAAAUCAAUGUGUUUGUCUGACGAAAAAAUACAAUAAACUGUUUUGAACAGAUCUGUGGAGUCUCUUUCAUUCAGGGGGGUGAAAUGUUUAGUCCUGGGAUGGGGGGGGGGGAGCCAGCGCAUCCCAUGCCCAUCCCUGGAGAAGGUGUCAGUAAGGGGGACGUGGCAG